Callithrix jacchus (white-tufted-ear marmoset) is the source of this 108-nucleotide small nuclear RNA. NCBI's taxonomy places the organism in Eukaryota, Metazoa, Chordata, Mammalia, Primates, Cebidae. The record is from Ensembl.
GUGCUCACUUCGCCAGCACAUAUACUAAAAUUGGAAUGAGACAGAGAAGAUUCGCAGGGCCCCAUGUCCAACGAUGACAUGGGAAUGUGUGAAGCGUUUCAUAUUUUU